This is a long non-coding RNA of Talpa occidentalis (Iberian mole), 861 nucleotides long. RefSeq lists it as uncharacterized. The record is from RefSeq and is a predicted model, not a curated record. NCBI's taxonomy places the organism in Eukaryota, Metazoa, Chordata, Mammalia, Eulipotyphla, Talpidae. The transcript has 4 exons.
CAGAGCGGUGAGGAGAAGCUGAGGAGAAUACUGAGGAAGAAGAAUUGAGGGAAGACCUGGAAGGGGCACAUGGAGCACAGACAUGUGAAGAUGAAGCCACACUUUUUGCUUGGCCUUGGACAAGUUCCAGGGACUGGUGGACAUGGAAUACUUGAGGCAGAGAUGUGGGUGCAACAAGGCCCAAGGUCAAGCACCCUUGGGUCCCAUUUGAGAUUAUAAUGAGGCCAGCGAGCAGAUUCUGCAGCAGCCAGAGUCAGCAGAAAACAGCCUGCAGCUCCAGGACAACCAGCGAAAAUUGCUGAGAAAAGAAAGAGAAGGUGCUGCCUGCUAAUGUGAAGGUGGCGCCCCCGGACCAGCCAUAACCAGCACAGGACUGCAGGGCCUGGAGGAAGAGUGUUCUAGAAGCUGUUGCUGGAGCUGUGCCUCACACUGGAAGGUCAUACUCCUCUCACCUGUGUCCUGACUCCUCACACUGCACAGCUGCUGUUUUGGAAGGGAAAUGAAAGGAUGCAGGACAUAGAAGAAGAAGAACAUGACUAACAACUUCAGUUCUCAAGAUGAAGUAAGUCAAGGUUUUUAACUUGCCCAUAUCUUAAACUUUCUGAAAUUACAUGCAGCCCUUUUCUCAGAAAAGUAUGUGUGUCUUUCAUGAACUUCUCAAAAAAUUUAUGUGCAUGACACUCCAAAAAAUAAUUGGUUCAGAAUCACUGAGCCAAAGCAUCUCAGAAAAGAUGUUCAGACAACUCCCUCCAAGGAGUAACUUAACCAAGAUGAUUGAGAAACCAGCCCAAGAAGGCCAAUGUCAUUAACAGACCUACAAAUACUCUACAAAAUAAACUGUCACACUGAUGUCCUGAUUGU